AACGGGGGGGGCGAGCGUACUCUCAAUGACUGGGCGUAAAGGGUGCGCAGACGGCGAGAAAUCGUAUCAUGUAAAUUUCUGGGCUCAACCUAGAGUUGUUGAUAGUCGGUCUUGCUACGAAUUUUAAAGAGGAGAGCGGUAUUCGCAGAGUAGGGGUGAAAUCCUGUAAUCCUGCUGGGGACCAACAAAGGCGAAGGCAGCUCUCCAGGUAAAAUGGACGUUCAGGCACGAAAGCGUGGGGAUCAAACGGG
Molecule: ribosomal RNA, 251 nt
Filed under: uncultured bacterium
Lineage: Bacteria
Description: partial 16S ribosomal RNA
Rfam family: Bacterial small subunit ribosomal RNA
Source: RNAcentral